AACGAACGCUGGCGGCAUGCCUAACACAUGCAAGUCGAACGAAGCCUUCGGGCUUAGUUGCGUACGUGUGCGUAACGCGUGGUAAUCUGCCCCUUGCUUCGGAAUAACAGUUAGAAAUGACUGCUAAUACCGGAUGAAGUCUUCGGACCAAAGAUUUAUCGGCAAGGGAUGAGCCCGCGUAGGAUUAGGUAGUUGGUGGGGUAAAGGCCUACCAAGCCGACGAUCCUUAGCUGGUCUGAGAGGAUGAUCAGCCACACUGGGACUGAGACACGGCCCAGACUCCUACGGGAGGGAGAAGUGGGGAAUAUUGGACAAUGGACGCAAGUCUGAACAAGCAAUGCCGCGGGAGUGAUGAAGGCCUUAGGGUUGUAAAGCUCUUUUACCAGGGAUGAGAAUGCCAGUAACUGGAGAAUAAGCUCCGGCUAACUCCGUG
RNAcentral lists this ribosomal RNA (433 nucleotides) under uncultured bacterium. Its description in RNAcentral is "partial 16S ribosomal RNA". It matches the Rfam family "Bacterial small subunit ribosomal RNA", at positions 29 to 507 of the family's 1533-position model. The record is from RNAcentral.